This 832-nucleotide long non-coding RNA is filed under the name Ornithorhynchus anatinus (platypus). Its description in RNAcentral is "lncRNA (ENSOANG00000037050.1)". Lineage: Eukaryota; Metazoa; Chordata; Mammalia; Monotremata; Ornithorhynchidae. The record is from RNAcentral.
AAUUGCCAGACAAAAUGUGAAUCAUAAUCUAGAAGUUCUGUUGAGCAAUGGACUUGAUUUUGAGUAACACAGCAUGUCAUUUUGCAAGAGUGGAUAAGGAGGUGUUGAGCAACACGAGGUGCUACAACCUAAAUUAACCUCUUUUCCAAUGAAUCAUGCUCCAGUUUGUAUCACAUGAUGCUUGAGGGGAAUAUAAGGAAAACUGAAUGGAUGGAGUUCCUGGACAAAAUUUUAGUAUGUCAUAAUGGGCAAUUAAAAAUUCAUUAGGCUAUUAUUGUGAUUCAAGUAUGGAACUUUCAUUCAUUAUCUCUAAGUUUUGCCAGUGGCUCUUUUUGUACUGCCAUAUGUUGAUCAUUGGUUAUGUUAACAGUAACAUGGUAAAUUUGUUUCCUUAUGACAUUAUGUGGGUGUGUUAACAGGUUGCUGCUUAGUAUAAAUGUCCUUUUUUAAGCUUGGGGAACCACAAGAAUUAAUAUAGAUUUUACAAAUGCAAAACCUUCAUAUUUUUUCCAUUAAGAUUCAGCUCAGUCUCUGUUUAGUAGACAUCCUUUCCCUGCCCCAUAUUUUCUUUGAUCAACUCCUUUUCCCCCUGACUUUUACCUUUAAAUUGGCAUCCCAUCUCAUAAAGAGGUCUAUAAAUCCAACCAGUAGAUCACUUCCCAGACAGUCCAGAAGAGAGAAGAAAGAGGAAGGAAGAGGAGAAGGAGGAGAAGGAGAAGGAAGAAGGAGGAGAAGAAGGGAAACUACAGAAUUCGCUCUGGUCCUGACCCCCACAUCUUCAAGAAAAUCUAUUCCAAAGGAUACCAGCUUUGCUCCUCACUGUGAUUCUUAA